Molecule: ribosomal RNA, 571 nt
Filed under: uncultured Lachnospiraceae bacterium
Lineage: Bacteria; Bacillati; Bacillota; Clostridia; Lachnospirales; Lachnospiraceae
Description: bacterial SSU rRNA
Rfam family: Bacterial small subunit ribosomal RNA
Source: RNAcentral
GAGCUUAGAGAGCUUGCUUUUUAAGCUUAGUGGCGAACGGGUGAGUAACGCGUGAGUAACCUGCCCUAUAGUGGGGGACAACAGUUGGAAACGACUGCUAAUACCGCAUAAGCCCACGGUACCGCAUGGUACUGAGGGAAAAGGAUUUAUUCGCUUUAGGAUGGACUCGCGUCCAAUUAGCUAGUUGGUGAGGUAACGGCCCACCAAGGCGACGAUUGGUAGCCGGACUGAGAGGUUGAACGGCCACAUUGGGACUGAGACACGGCCCAGACUCCUACGGGAGGCAGCAGUGGGGGAUAUUGCACAAUGGGGGAAACCCUGAUGCAGCGACGCCGCGUGGGGGAAGAAGGUUUUCGGAUUGUAAACUCCUGUCGUUAGGGACGAUAAUGACGGUACCUAACAAGAAAGCACCGGCUAACUACGUGCCAGCAGCCGCGGUAAAACGUAGGGUGCAAGCGUUGUCCGGAAUUACUGGGUGUAAAGGGAGCGCAGGCGGGAAGACAAGUUGGAAGUGAAAACCAUGGGCUCAACCCAUGAAUUGCUUUCAAAACUGUUUUUCUUGAGUAGUGCA